UGAGGAAUAUUGGUCAAUGGUCGGGAGACUGAACCAGCCAAGCCGCGUGAGGGAUGAAGGUACAGAGUAUCGUAAACCUCUUUUGUCAGGGAACAAAAGGCGCCACGCGUGGCGCUCCGAGUGUACCUGAAGAAAAGCAUCGGCUAACUCCGUGCCAGCAGCCGCGGUAAUACGGAGGAUGCGAGCGUUAUCCGGAUUUAUUGGGUUUAAAGGGUGCGUAGGCGGCGAGUUAAGUCAGCGGUAAAAGCCCGGGGCUCAACCCGCCGCCGUGAAACUGGCUUGCUUGAGUUGGAGAGAAGUAGGCGGAAUGCGCGGUGUAGCGGUGAAAUGCUUAGAUAUCGCGCAGAACUCCGAUUGCGAAGGCAGCCUACCGGCUCCAGACUGACGCUGAGGCACGAAAGCGUGGGUAUCGAACAGGAUUAGAUACC
RNAcentral lists this ribosomal RNA (428 nucleotides) under uncultured bacterium. RNAcentral describes it as "bacterial SSU rRNA". It matches the Rfam family "Bacterial small subunit ribosomal RNA", at positions 355 to 786 of the family's 1533-position model. The record is from RNAcentral.